RNAcentral lists this small nuclear RNA (97 nucleotides) under Neotoma lepida (desert woodrat). Lineage: Eukaryota; Metazoa; Chordata; Mammalia; Rodentia; Cricetidae. The record is from RNAcentral.
GUGCUCACUUUGGCUGCAUAUACACAAAACUUGGAACAAUAGAAGCAUAGCCCCUGCACAAGGAUGACAAACAAUUCAUGAAUUAUUCUGUGUUUUU